Long non-coding RNA from Canis lupus familiaris (dog), 387 nucleotides. RefSeq lists it as uncharacterized. The record is from RefSeq and is a predicted model, not a curated record. The transcript has 3 exons. Lineage: Eukaryota; Metazoa; Chordata; Mammalia; Carnivora; Canidae.
GCCUGCCAAACAUACAAGACUGAGGAGUUACAGUGGUAUAAGAAAGUAGCUUCAGGACCCUGCAAGUGGUUCCAGAGGACUACAGUCUUCAAUGCACGUGGAGCUGAUUGAGAGAUGAAAGCAAAGAAGAAGGCUGUUCUUCUGCCUAGAAUACUCCCAGUCCUGUGGCCCUGGUAACUCCUGCUCAUCCUCCAAGACAAUUCCUCUGCAAAGCAAUCUCAAACCAACCUGGGACAACUGAGGACCCCUUGAAGUUACCAAUCAUCCAAAGGAAGUGAUGAAGCCUCAUUCCAAAUUUAGCAAGUAAAAAAAGUAAGUAAAUAAAUUAAUUGAGGAUAAAUACAGAGGCAAUUAUAAAGAAUGUUAGGCCUAAUUUGAAAUAUUUAC